GAUGAACGUUGGCGGAAUGCUUUACACAUGCAAGUCGAACGGCAGCACGGGGGCAACCCGGGUGACGAGUGGCGGACGGGUGAGUAAUGUCUGGGGAUCUGCCCGAUAGAGGGGGAUAACCACUGGAAACGGUGGCUAAUACCGCAUAACGUCGCAAGACCAAAGAGGGGGACCUUCGGGCCUCUCACUAUCGGAUGAACCCAGAUGGGAUUAGCUAGUAGGCGGGGUAACGGCCCACCUAGGCGACGAUCCCUAGCUGGUCUGAGAGGAUGACAAGCCACACUGGAACUGAGACACGGUCCAGACUCCUACGGGAGGCAGCAGUGGGGAAUAUUGCACAAGGGGCGCAAGCCUGAUGCAGCCAUGCCGCAUGUAUGAAGAAGGCCUUCGGGUUGUAAAGUACUUUCAGCGGGGAGGAAGGCGAUGUGGUUAAUAACCGCAUUGAUUGACGUUACCCGCAGAAGAAGCACCGGCUAACUCCGUGCCAGCCGCCGCGGUAA
Molecule: ribosomal RNA, 500 nt
Filed under: uncultured bacterium
Lineage: Bacteria
Description: partial 16S ribosomal RNA
Rfam family: Bacterial small subunit ribosomal RNA
Source: RNAcentral